AGAAGAUAGAAUUGGGAGAGAGAAAGAAAAGAUAAUUAUUACUCAAAGGCACCAGUGUUGGAGGUAUGCCCUAGAGGCAAUCAUAGAGAUGAUGAUAUCUGAUUGUAUCCAUGAUUUGUAUAUUGUGUUCAUUGAAUAUCCAUUAAAGGCUACUUGAAUUGAUCUACAAUUAUGUGAAUUGUAUGUGGAACUCUUUACUUGUAUGGUUAUUCUAAAAGUUGUCCCUAGUCGAAGUUCAUGUGUGGACACAUA
Molecule: long non-coding RNA, 252 nt
Filed under: Setaria viridis
Lineage: Eukaryota; Viridiplantae; Streptophyta; Magnoliopsida; Poales; Poaceae
Description: long non-coding RNA (SVIR_LNC001864)
Source: RNAcentral